This 518-nucleotide ribosomal RNA is filed under the name uncultured bacterium. RNAcentral describes it as "bacterial LSU rRNA". It matches the Rfam family "Bacterial large subunit ribosomal RNA", at positions 616 to 1134 of the family's 2925-position model. The record is from RNAcentral.
UGAGUCAGCGAGUUGUCCGUCGUGGCGAGGUUAAGCCGACAGGUGUAGCCGCAGGAAACCGAGUCUCAACAGGGCGUUGAGUCGCGGCGGACAGACCCGAAACCAGGUGAGCUACCCAUGGCCAGGGUGAAACGUUGGUAAUACUUCGUGGAGGCCCGAACUCACUGAUGUUGAAAAAUCAGGGGAUGAGCUGUGGGUAGGAGUGAAAGGCUAACCAAACCUGGAAAUAGCUGGUUCUCCCCGAAAUGUAUUGAGGUACAGCCUCGGAUAUAGCACCGAUGGAGGUAGAGCACUGGAUGGGCUAGGGGGCUAUCAAGUCUACCAAACCCAACCAAACUCCGAAUUCCGUUGAGUGACGUCCGGGAGUGAGACGGCGGGGAGAUAAGUUUCGUCGUCGAGAGGGAAAGAGCCCAGACUGCCAGCUAAGGUCCCUAAAUGUACGCUAAGUGGUCAAGGAUGUGGAAGAACUUAGACAACCAGGAGGUUGGCUUAGAAGCAGCCAUCCUUUAAAGAAAGCG